CAUUAAACCUAAUACCCACACAUUUCAAUUUCUCAUUGACAUACACAUCUCAUUGACAUACACAUCGCCGCUGCUGUGAAGAACAUUGCAUCGAUUCACACACACAUACACAUCGCCAUUGUUGUGCUGCCGAUCGGCUCACCGCUGGUCGCCUAUCCUCACCGCCGCCGCUGAUUUCUCCUUCCCUUGCCGAUCGGCUCACGGCUGUUAGCCUCUUCUCGUCGUCGUCGACUCGUCGAUUGUCUCCCCUCCUGCUCGGCCGCUAGUCUUGCCGGUCGCCACCUAUAGCCUUGCCGGUCUUCUCCGCUCGCCUUUGCUCGCUGCUUAGGUAUGGCACAAUCUUCUGGGUGGGCUGGUUUGUUUGCUAGUGGCCCAUCACCUAUGCCUACUCUGCAUCCACGGCCUAAGGAAGAAUUUCCACACGCACUUAAUGAAGAAGCUACAAUUGUAUAGGAAUUGCAAGAUCGUUAGGCUGAAAUUCACGCCUUCCAUAUCUCAUUCUGAAAUACUCCAAGACUGAAGAACUUUGAAGGUGCUAGGGUUCCAUGUCUAUUCGAUCAUCUCCUUCCAGAAAUACUCCCAAGAGAGUCUGAAGAACACUUUGAAGGUGCGAUUGAAAGGUUUAAUCGAAGGUGCUGCUAAUUGAUUCUCUCCUUCGAAGGUGCGAUGAAGGGCUAGCAUGGUUCCUGAGAUCAAGACGGGUCGGCGUAAGAGAGCAUCAAGUGGCAACGUAGUAUCAGCCUCAGAAGCAUGUCCACAUGAGAUUGGCACCCCGCUGACUUUCUCUGAUGGGGCGCAACUGCCGGAUGAUACACAGACAGUUGGUGUGGGGCGAACAAGGUCAACUCGUGUAUGAGGACCUACAUUAGGCAAAGGAGUGCAGAAAGAAAUAGCUAGGAAAAAAGGAGAGAAAUUGCAUGUUUGUGUCAACCGAGUGUUCAAUGCAAUCACUGGAGGGAAUGCCACCCCAACAACGAAGGAGUUGGGACUGCAGAUUAGGCGGUUGUGCCCUCUUCAGAGCGUGAAGUUGUAGAAAAAAAUCGAUCAAAGUACCAAAGAUGUUGUCCAAGCUGUGCUAGACAAGUUUGUUAUUGGUGAGGAUUUUCAUAAUGAUGAACAAGCCCAACGGAUCAUUGAUAGAAAGGCAUAUUUGUUGUACAAGGAUUGGAGAUAUAACCUAAAGCAAGAGUUCCUCGAACUUGAGGAAUAGGGUGUUGAUGACCCCUAUAGUCAUCCGCCUACUGGAGUGAGCUUGGAGGAUUGGGAAAAAUGAAUCUCACUUGAAAUGCUCAAAAGUUGGUAAAGCAAAUAGGCAUAUGCUACCAUACAAUCAUACAAGUGGAUCUCGAUCAUUUUCAAUAGCAAUGUUGCUAAUGAUGAGAUGCUGAAUCUACAAGUGGUAGCCAUUGAUGCGAGGACGCCAUUGACCCAAGAAGAACUAUCAAGGCAAGUGCUUGGGCAAAAAAAAAAAUUACUUGCGUGGAUUUGGGAUAGGCCCACAACCCUCUUCGACACCUGAUAGUGCGACACAAUCUCGUGAUAAACAUAUGGAGUCAAUGAGGGCUGAACUGAGAAGCAUCAAAGAGAUCACGAGGAGCUGCUGAGGGAGAAAAAGGUGCGCCAAAGAGAUCACGAAGAGCUACUGAGGGAGAAAGAGGAGCGCCAAAGAGAUCGCGAAGAACUUAUGAGGGAAAGAAAGGAGAUGAUGAAACAAGUCGAAGAAGAAAAAAAGCACGGGAGGCACAACAAGUACAACUCAAUCAUCUGAACGACGUGGUGUCACGACUCACAACCCUCUUGCAGGGUUUAGAUGGUCAUCCUACUAUUCGAUGGCUUUUGGCAUCGACAUGUGGAUCUGCCAUUUUUGUGUACGGAGGAUAAACACUUCUGAAAAGUUCCACUUUUUUGUCGUCCUCUGCUUUUUGUAUGGAAUUUGGAUGAAUCGCACAUAUAACUUUUGGCAGGGUACAUAAUACUUUUGACAUGGAACUUGUAUUUGUUAUCGUGGUAUAUAGAUUACCUUUUGUUGUGGUACAGAUUACCAUGGUAAUUUAUACCAUGCCAAAUGGUCAUUUCGCAUAGUAGUGAAUAUAUUUUUGUGGACGGAGGACAUUGUUUUGGUAUGCUUAUUUGUUUUGUAUGAAAUUAUUUCCAAUUGGAAUGUAUACUUAGUUUGUAUAGAAGUUGACAUUCUAAGUUAUUCUUAUUUGUUUAA
Non-coding RNA from Camellia sinensis, 2215 nucleotides. NCBI's taxonomy places the organism in Eukaryota, Viridiplantae, Streptophyta, Magnoliopsida, Ericales, Theaceae. The record is from RefSeq and is a predicted model, not a curated record.